UCUGGGCUCUUGUUCUAGGAGAUAGUGGUGAAUGGUUAACUCAUUCGUUCAAUCCCUUAAUAUGAGACUGAAAGUCCACAGUUGGCGGAGUUUCAGGAGCCAUCUCCGGCCUUGCAGGGACUGUUACUGCUAGGAGGGUGGGCACAGGCUCCUCAGCCUGGGGCCGUCCCCUUUCGCACCAGCACCAGUCGUUUCUGCCUUCAUAUUAAUGGCACGCUGUUGCGCUCUCCUGGCUGUUUCUGGUUUGGAUGCAGGUUUUGGCUGUGACCUUGGCAAUGGGUUAUUCACCUAGAGUCUCAAAAGCCGGAAAGUCCAAACUGCAAUUCUUUGGUAACCUGAGAAAGAGAAAGAAGAGCAGUGAGAACAAGAGGCCUUGGAUAUUCAAAUCAAUUAAACAAUUAAUUCCUACCCUGCAAACUGGCGUGUCAAGCUUCAGCCUGUGGCCGACUUAUUUGGCUGAAUUAUAACCCCCUGGCAAGCAGCGGUUCCUCAUGGAAAAGCUGGAGGAGUCUUAAGUACAUGUGGGUUCGGAGCAGCUCCAGAGAUACGAAAGAGCGAACAGUGUUUUAAGGCCACGGUACAAUGUGACAACAGUGAUAGAUAUGCUAAUUUCUUCAUUCACUCCACUUCACUUCUUUUAUUCUUUCCAAUUAAAGCAAAUGCUACUGAAACUGUAAUUAAGCCAGGGCUGGGCC
Microcebus murinus (gray mouse lemur) is the source of this 695-nucleotide non-coding RNA. NCBI's taxonomy places the organism in Eukaryota, Metazoa, Chordata, Mammalia, Primates, Cheirogaleidae. The record is from RefSeq and is a predicted model, not a curated record.